This 1062-nucleotide long non-coding RNA is filed under the name Anas platyrhynchos platyrhynchos (common mallard). Its description in RNAcentral is "lncRNA (ENSAPLG00000018679.1)". Lineage: Eukaryota; Metazoa; Chordata; Aves; Anseriformes; Anatidae. The record is from RNAcentral.
AUGGCCCCUCCCCGUGUGUGGCAGCAGGGUGGCCACCAACCAUCGGGCAGGGGUCCUGUGGCCACCACCAACCGUCAGACGGGGGUCCUGUGGCCACUGUCAACCAUGGGCAGGGGUCCCCGUGGCCACCACCGGCCACCAGGUAGGGGGUCCACAUGGCUACCAUCAACCAUCAGGCAGGGGGUCCCGUGGCCACUAUCAGCCAUGGGCAGGGGGUCCCUGUGGCCACCAUCAACCAUUGGGAAGGGGUCCUGUGGCCACCACCAUCCCCUACACAGGGGUCCCCAUGGCCACCACCAACCCCCAGGCAGGGGUCCCAUGGCCACCAUGAGCCACCAGGCAGGGGUCCUCGUGGCCACCACUAACCAUGGGGCAGGGGUCCCCAUGGCCACAACCAACCCCCAGGCAGGGGUCCCCAUGGCCACCAUCAACCAUCGGGAAGGGGUCCCUGUGGCCACCACCAAUCCCCAGGCAGGGGUCCUCGUGGCCACCACCAACAACCAGGCCAGGGUCCCUGUGGCUACCACCAGCCACCAGGCAGGGGUCCCAUGGCUACCAUCAACCAUCGGGCAGGGGUCCCGGUGGCCACCAACAACCAUCAGGCAGGGGGUCCUGUGGCCACCACCAACCCCCAGGCAGGGGUCCCAUGGCCACCACCAACCACCAGGCAGGGGGCCCCUGUGGCCACCAUCAGCCAUGGGACAGGGGUCCUGUGGCCACCACCAACUAUCAGACAGGGGUCCCCAUGGCCACAACCAACCCCCAGGCAGGGGUCCCCAUGGCCACCAUGAGCCACCAGGCAGGGGUCCUGUGGCCACCACCAACAACCACACUAGGGUCUCCACGGCCACCACCAGCCACCAGGUAGGGGGUCCACAUGGCUACCACAGACCAUCAGGCAGGUGGCCCCUGUGGCCACCAUCAGGCAUGGGCAGGGGUCCCGUGGCCACCAACAACUAUCAGACAGGGGUCCCUGUGGCCACAACCAACCCCCAGGCAGGGGUCCCCAUGGCUACCACCAACCACCAGGCAGGGGGUCCCUGUGGCCACCAUAAGCCAUGA